GUGUGUGUGUGUGUGUGUGUAGCAAAGAUAAAAAGAACCCAACCCUAGUCUCUCAUUUUGAUGUCACCAGCUGCAGGAAAACAUGGUCAGACCAUAGUAGCACUUGUGCUGGCAAUUUUCUUUCAUCCUUCCUCUUCUUCUUCCCUCUCUAUCCUCUUCUCUUCUUCUCAUUUGGCACAGCAAAACAGCACCUGCACCGGCCCCCUUUUUUGUUUUUCUUUGUAAUUUUU
This 230-nucleotide unclassified non-coding RNA is filed under the name Hevea brasiliensis (rubber tree). The record is from RNAcentral. Lineage: Eukaryota; Viridiplantae; Streptophyta; Magnoliopsida; Malpighiales; Euphorbiaceae.